This is a long non-coding RNA of Mastomys coucha (southern multimammate mouse), 454 nucleotides long. RefSeq lists it as uncharacterized. The transcript is spliced from 4 exons. Lineage: Eukaryota; Metazoa; Chordata; Mammalia; Rodentia; Muridae. The record is from RefSeq and is a predicted model, not a curated record.
CUUGGCUUUGGGCCUUUUGUCUGGUGCUGAGCUGAUGGUACAGGGCUUUCUCAAGAUGGGCUGAGCAGAUGGGACAGCUGAGUUGAGCCCGUUCAGUGUCGGGGUGACUUAAUUGCACAAGAUGAAGCUCUAAGAGCUGGAUGAAAACUGACAACUUGGACCUCCACAGAGUAAUUGUGUCCUAGCUGUCCCCAGAACAAGGUCCUUCAUUUUUGGAUAAAGGGCUUCCAUAUGUUGGCCAGACUGAUCUUGAAUUUCUAAGCCCAACUCAUCUUUUGCCCCAGCUUGCCGAGAAGAUUAAUUUGAAAUACAACUUUAUUCUGAUUCUAAAUGAAAAGAAUGGGAAUGACAGUUACAAAUAAGAUUUCACCACUGAAUAUUGUGAUGCUACUGUAGCAGUCUUUAUCUUUGAAAUCCAAGAAAGAAACAACUCUCUUCCAAAGGGCUAAAUAUG